RNAcentral lists this long non-coding RNA (754 nucleotides) under Salmo salar (Atlantic salmon). RNAcentral's name for it is "lncRNA (ENSSSAG00000090536.1)". Lineage: Eukaryota; Metazoa; Chordata; Actinopteri; Salmoniformes; Salmonidae. The record is from RNAcentral.
GGCUAGGGUUAGAGGUAGUACCGGGGCUGGGGUUAGAGGUAGUACUGGGGCUGGGGUUAGAGGUAGUACCGGGGCUGGGGUUAGAGGUAGUAUCGGGGCUGGGGUUAGAGGUAGUACUGGGGCUGGGGUUAGAGGUAGUACUGGGGCUGGGGUUAGAGGUAGUACUGGGGCUGGGGUUAGAGGUAGUACCGGGGCUGGGCUUAGAGGUAGUACUGGGAUUAGAGGUAGUACUGGGGCUGGGGUUAGAGGUAGUACUGGGGUUAGAGGUAGUACUGGGGCUGGGGUUAGAGGUAGUACCGGGGCUGGGGUUAGAGGUAGUGUUGGGGGUUAGAGGUAGUACUGGGGUUAGAGGUAGUACCGGGGCUGGGGUUAGAGGUAGUACCGGGGCUGGGGUUAGAGGUAGUACUGGGGCUGGGGCUAGAGGUAGUACUGGGGCUGGGGUUAGAGGUAGUACUGGGGCUGGGGCUGGGGAUAGAGGUAGUACUGGGGCUGGGGUUAGAGGUAGUACCAGGGCUGGGGUUAGAGGUAGUACUGGGGUUAGAGGUAGUACUGGGGCUGGGGUUAGAGGUAGUACUGGGACUGGGGUUAGAGGUAGUACUGGGGCUGGGGUUAGAGGUAGUACUGGGGCUGGGGUUAGAGGUAGUACCAGGGCUGGGGUUAGAGGUAGUACCGGGGCUGGGGUUAGAGGUAGUACCGGGGCUGGGGUUAGAGGUAGUACCGGGGCUGGGGUUAGAGGUAGUGUUGGGGGUUAGAG